RNAcentral lists this non-coding RNA (30 nucleotides) under Rattus norvegicus (Norway rat). Lineage: Eukaryota; Metazoa; Chordata; Mammalia; Rodentia; Muridae. The record is from RNAcentral.
UCCUCUGGAAGGGUAGCAAGUGCUCUUGAU